RNAcentral lists this ribosomal RNA (433 nucleotides) under uncultured bacterium. RNAcentral describes it as "partial 16S ribosomal RNA". It matches the Rfam family "Bacterial small subunit ribosomal RNA", at positions 29 to 507 of the family's 1533-position model. The record is from RNAcentral.
AGCGAACGCUGGCGGCAGGCCUAACACAUGCAAGUCGAACGAACUCUUCGGAGUUAGUGGCGGACGGGUGAGUAACACGUGGGAACGUGCCUUUUGGUUCGGAAUAACUCAGGGAAACUUGUGCUAAUACCGAAUGUGCCCUUCGGGGGAAAGAUUUAUCGCCAUUAGAGCGGCCCGCGUCUGAUUAGCUAGUUGGUGAGGUAACGGCUCACCAAGGCGACGAUCAGUAGCUGGUCUGAGAGGAUGACCAGCCACACUGGGACUGAGACACGGCCCAGACUCCUACGGGAGGCAGCAGUGGGGAAUCUUGCGCAAUGGGCGAAAGCCUGACGCAGCCAUGCCGCGUGAAUGAUGAAGGUCUUAGGACUGUAAAAUUCUUUCACCGGGGACGAUAGUGACGGUACCCGGAGAAGAAGCCCCGGCUAACUUCGUG